AGCGAACGCUGGCGGCAGGCUUAACACACGCAAGUCGAGCGGGCAUAGCAAUAUGUCAGCGGCAGACGGGUGAGUAACGCGUGGGAACGUACCUUUUGGUUCGGAACAACACAGGGAAACUUGUGCUAAUACCGGAUAAGCCCUUACGGGGAAAGAUUUAUCGCCGAAAGAUCGGCCCGCGUCUGAUUAGCUAGUUGGUGUGGUAAUGGCUCACCAAGGCGACGAUCAGUAGCUGGUCUGAGAGGAUGAUCAGCCACAUUGGGACUGAGACACGGCCCAAACUCCUACGGGAGGCAGCAGUGGGGAAUAUUGGACAAUGGGCGCAAGCCUGAUCCAGCCAUGCCGCGUGAGUGAUGAAGGCCCUAGGGUUGUAAAGCUCUUUUGUGCGGGAAGAUAAUGACGGUACCGCAAGAAUAAGCCCCGGCUAACUUCGUGCCAGCCGCCGCAGUAA
Molecule: ribosomal RNA, 451 nt
Filed under: uncultured bacterium
Lineage: Bacteria
Description: partial 16S ribosomal RNA
Rfam family: Bacterial small subunit ribosomal RNA
Source: RNAcentral